RNAcentral lists this ribosomal RNA (1589 nucleotides) under uncultured bacterium. RNAcentral describes it as "bacterial SSU rRNA". It matches the Rfam family "Bacterial small subunit ribosomal RNA". The record is from RNAcentral.
AGAGUUUGAUCCUGGCUCAGGACGAACGCUGGCGGCGUGCCUAACACAUGCAAGUCGCACGACGGGUGCCGUGACGCUUCCGAUCGGACCCUCCGACGCUCCAACGCCUUCGGGCCGCGGAGCCGACGAGGCGACGUGACGAAGCCGAUCGGACUUACACCCGGAGUGGCGGACGGGUGAGUAACGCGUGACCAACCAACCUCAAGGUGGGGCAUAACCAUCCGAAAGGAUGGCUAAUUCCUCAUGCUGGCUGCGAGACGGCAGGUCUCGUAAUGAAAGGCCCUUCGGGGUCGCCUUGAGACGGGGUCGCGUCCCAUUAGCUGGCUGGUGAGGUAACGGCUCACCAGGGCAAUGAUGGGUAGCUGGUCUGAGAGGAUGAUCAGCCACACUGGGACUGAGACACGGCCCAGACUCCUACGGGAGGCUGCAGUGGGGAAUCUUGCACAAUGAGCGAAAGCUUGAUGCAGCGACGCCGCGUGGGGGACGACGGCCCUCGGGUUGUAAACCCCUACCCAUCGGGAGGAAUAAGGAUGUCAGGCAAUGGGCAUCCGAUGACGUUACCGAUGAUAGUAGCUCCGGCUAACUACGUGCCAGCAGCCGCGGUAAUACGUAGGGAGCAAGCGUUGUCCGGAAUCACUGGGCGUAAAGGGUGCGCAGGCGGACGUGCAGGUCUGACGUGAAAGCCCCGGGCUCAACCUGGGAGGUGCGUCGGAAACCGCAUGUCUUGAGGGCCAGAGAGGCCGGUGGAAUUCGCGGUGGAGCGGUGAAAUGCGUAGAUAUCGCGAGGAACACCCGUGGCGAAGGCGACCGGCUGGAUGGACCCUGACGCUGAGGCACGAAAGCGUGGGUAGCAAACGGGAUUAGAUACCCCGGUAGUCCACGCCCUAAACGAUGGGCAUUAGGUGUAGGCGAUACAGCUCGCCUGUGCCGAAGCUAACGCAUUAAAUGCCCCGCCUGGGAAUUACGGCCGCAAGGCUGAAACUCAAAGGAAUUGACGGGGGCCCGCACAAGCGGUGGAGCACGUGGUUUAAUUGGAUGCAAAGCCAAGAACCUUACCAGGCCUUGACAUGUCGGCCAGUAGGCCGUCUGAAAGGAUGGCCGAGUCCUGCCUAGCAGGACAACCGUCACAGGUGGUGCAUGGCUGUCGUCAGCUCGUGCCGUGAGGUGUUGGGUUAAGUCCCGCAACGAGCGAAACCCCUAUCCUUAGUUGCCAGCAUUGAGUUGGGGACUCUAAGGACACUGCCCGGGAGAACCGGGAGGAAGGUGGGGAUGACGUCAAGUCCCUAUGCCCCUUAUGGCCUGGGCGACACACGUGCUACAAUGGCCGGUACAGAGGGUAGCCACACCGCAAGGUGAAGCGAAUCCCUUAAAACCGGUCUCAGUUCGGAUUGGGGAUUGCAACUCAUCCCCAUGAAGGCGGAAUCGCUAGUAAUCGCGGAUCAGCCAUGCCGCGGUGAAUACGUUCCCGGGCCUUGUACACACCGCCCGUCACACCACAAAAGUCGGCAAUACCCGAAGUCAGCCACCCGUUAGGGAGCUGCCGAAGGUAGGGCCGGCGAUUGGGGUGAAGUCGUAACAAGGUAACCGUA